This 391-nucleotide unclassified non-coding RNA is filed under the name soil metagenome. Its description in RNAcentral is "partial contains 5.8S ribosomal RNA, internal transcribed spacer 2, and large subunit ribosomal RNA". The stretch from base 1 to 122 matches the Rfam family "5.8S ribosomal RNA", at positions 35 to 154 of the family's 154-position model. The record is from RNAcentral.
GAUGAAGAACGUAGCGAAAUGCGAUACUUGGUGUGAAUUGCAGAAUCCCGUGAACCAUCGAGUCUUUGAACGCAAGUUGCGCCCGAAGCCACUAGGCCGAGGGCACGCCUGCCUGGGCGUCACACGUCGUUGCCCCCCCAUCUACUCCUUCGGGAUUGCGGGGGGGCGGAUGAUGGCCUCCCGUGCGCCUAGCCGCGCGGUUGGCAUAAAUACCAAGUCCUCGGGGCCGCACGCCACGACAAUCGGUGGUUGCGAAACCUCGGUUGCCCGUCGUGUGCGUUCGUCGCGCAUCGAGGGCUCGAAAAAAUGCUCGGCUCCGGCUGGGCUUUCAACGCGACCCCAGGUCAGGCGGGGUUACCCGCUGAAUUUAAGCAUAUCAAUAAGCGGAGGA